UUUGAUGGCGACCGGCGCACGGGUGAGUAACACGUAUCCAACCUGCCGAUGACUCGGGGAUAGCCUUUCGAAAGAAAGAUUAAUACCCGAUGGCAUAGUUCUUCCGCAUGGUGGAACUAUUAAAGAAUUUCGGUCAUCGAUGGGGAUGCGUUCCAUUAGGUUGUUGGCGGGGUAACGGCCCACCAAGCCUUCGAUGGAUAGGGGUUCUGAGAGGAAGGUCCCCCACAUUGGAACUGAGACACGGUCCUAACUCCUACGGGAGGCAGCAUG
RNAcentral lists this ribosomal RNA (270 nucleotides) under uncultured bacterium. RNAcentral's name for it is "partial 16S ribosomal RNA". It matches the Rfam family "Bacterial small subunit ribosomal RNA", at positions 84 to 353 of the family's 1533-position model. The record is from RNAcentral.